UGUUGCCAAGAGACCUGGACACGUGCCACGCUCCAACUCCACACUGCACAGAAGGCAGCUGGCCACCCCUCCUCAGACAUCCAUGGACCCCAGAUCCAAGAUCUCCACCUUGGCCCUCCUGCUCCACAAAGGAGAGUCACAGACUCACAGGGCGAGUUCCUGUACCUCCUGCCCACCUCCAUGCAACCUCUCAAAGGGCUCUCCAGCCCAUGUGGGACCACCAGCCUGGGUGAGGCGACUGGUCCAGUUAGGGCCACCAGUCCUGGCAGGGCCAAAAGUCCAGGCAAGGCGACCAGCCCAGGUGGGACCACCAGCCCAGGUGAGGACACCAGCCCAGGAAGGACCAGCAGCCCAGAUGGGACCAGUGGCCCUGGUGAUGCUACCACCACAGGUGGGACCAACAGCCCAUGUGGGGACGUUUCCCCAGGCAGGAGCAACAGCCCAAGUGGGGCCACCAAGCCUUGCGGGACCAAUGGCCCCAAUAGGGACAGCAGCCCAGGUGAUGGGGCCACUAGACCAGGCCACGACUCCAGCUGAUGCCAGGCUACCAGCCCAGGCAGGCCCAGCAUACCAGGUGGGGCCACCACUCCAGGCAAGUCCACCCGCCCAGAUGUGUCCGUCACCCCAGGCGAGGCUACCAUCCCAGGUGGGGACACCAGCUCCUCUGGUGCCACCAGCCCAGUCAGGUCCACCAGCCCAGGUGGGGCCAACACCCCAGGCGGGGACACCAGCCCAGGCAGGGACACCAGGAUCGGCGAGGAUACCAGCCCAGGCGGAACCAACAUGCCAGGCCAGGCCAACAGCCCAGACGGGGACACCAGCCAUGACAGAAACCCUGUGGUCACAGCUAGGCUUUGGAAACAUUGAGAGUUUGCUCCUUCUGUUGACUCGCUGUGCUCUGGUGCUGCUCUUUUCCUUCUGGACAUUUAUCUCAUGCAGAGAGAUAAAGGACUACCGUGAGUUCCAACAAGAGCAGCUGGCAGAGCUGGGCAAAGGAUUGAAGAUGAUGGGUAAAGCCCUGGGAGAACUUGAGAAGACACUAAAUGCAGAAAGAGAACAUAAAAAUCAUCUUUCCAAGGAGCUGUCUGAGCUGAAGGCAGAGCUCAGAAUUUCUGAAAAGGAAACAGAGAGAUGGAAAAAGCUGUUUUUUCUAUUGUCCCGGGCACAACACCUUUUGAAGGCCUUCCCGGAAGAUGCAAAGGGGCACUGUGUGCAGGUGGAGCAGGGCCCUUAGAGGCAGGCCCAGGCCUGGGAGCUGGAGAGUUUCUUCCUCCCUGUGCACGCCCCCUAGAGGAGAAGAGGGUGGGGAGGAGGGCAAAGCGGAGGCUAGGGUAGGGUGCUGGGACAGAGACGUGGCCUGAAUUUCAUGAUGUAUGUAUAUUUUGAAUAAUAAUUGAAUGUUGGAGCGCAAAGAAGUGUCCCCAGGAGAUUGUGUCACCUGGGAUGGGGGUCACAAGUCCAUGCACCCUCCAGCUGAUGGGUCUCAGAGCCGUGCAGAGCUGGGCGCCGUUCCAUGGAAGUAACCAGCCAGAGGGUGGCACAAGACCUCACAGAUACGUCGUGGCAGAACCGGGGCUUGGACUUGCCGUUACGGCUCCAGCUCUGGCCGUGGGUCCUGCCUGAUGCGGGCGUUUGAUGAGCAAAGGGGAGGGUGAGACCAGGGUAAGAGAGGCCAGAGGCAUGGCUGUACCCCCCUGCCC
This 1700-nucleotide long non-coding RNA is filed under the name Sus scrofa (pig). Its description in RNAcentral is "lncRNA (ENSSSCG00070003710.1)". The record is from RNAcentral. Lineage: Eukaryota; Metazoa; Chordata; Mammalia; Artiodactyla; Suidae.